Molecule: non-coding RNA, 29 nt
Filed under: Rattus norvegicus (Norway rat)
Lineage: Eukaryota; Metazoa; Chordata; Mammalia; Rodentia; Muridae
Source: RNAcentral
UGUGGUUGCUGUUCUGUGGUUGUCCAUUC